CGGGGGAGUAACCACGGGACCACCUGCCUUUUCAGAGGGGGUUACGGAUUGGAACGGAUUGGUUAAUCCGGCAUAACGCCACGAAGAGCCAUCUUCAUGCUGCCAAAGAAUUUUCGCUGAUAGAGGGGCUCGCGUCCGAUUAGAUAGUUGGUGAGGUAACGGCCCACCAAGUCGACGAUCGGUAGCCGGACUGAGAGGUCGAACGGCCACAUUGGGACUGAGACACGGCCCAGACUCUUACGGGAGGCAGCAGUGGGGGAUAUUGCACAAUGGGGGAAACCCUGAUGCAGCGACGCCGCGUGAGGGAAGACGGUCCUCUGGAUUGUAAACCUCUGUCUUCGGGGACGAAACGAGACGGUACCCGAGGAGGAAGCCACGGCUAACUACGUGCCAGCAGCCGCGGUAAUACGUAGGUGGCAAGCGUUGUCCGGAAUUACUGGGUGUAAAGGGAGCGUAGGCGGGCAGGCAAGUCAGGCGUGAAAGAUAUCGGCUCAACCGGUAGCUGCGCUUGAAACUGCAGGUCUUGAGUGAAGUAGAGGUUGGCGGAAUUCCUAGUGUAGCGGUGAAAUGCGUAGAUAUUAGGAGGAACACCAGUGGCGAAGGCGGCCAACUGGGCUUUUACUGACGCUGAGGCUCGAAAGUGUGGGGAGCAAACAGGAUUAGAUACCCUGGUAGUCCACACCGUAAACGAUGAUUACUAGGUGUGGGGGGACUGACCCCUUCCGUGCCGGAGUAA
RNAcentral lists this ribosomal RNA (736 nucleotides) under uncultured bacterium. Its description in RNAcentral is "bacterial SSU rRNA". It matches the Rfam family "Bacterial small subunit ribosomal RNA", at positions 103 to 854 of the family's 1533-position model. The record is from RNAcentral.